CAGUCGCCGCGGGAAUACGAAGGGGGCUAGCGUUGUUCGGAAUCACUGGGCGUAAAGGGUGCGUAGGCGGAUUCUUAAGUCAGGGGUGAAAUCCCGAGGCUCAACCUCGGAACUGCCUUUGAUACUGGGGAUCUUGAGUCCGGAAGAGGUGAGUGGAACUGCGAGUGUAGAGGUGAAAUUCGUAGAUAUUCGCAAGAACACCAGUGGCGAAGGCGGCUCACUGGUCCGGAACUGACGCUGAGGCACGACAGCGUGGGGAGCAAACAGGAUUAGAGACCCGCGUAGUCCUGUCUCUUAUACC
This 301-nucleotide ribosomal RNA is filed under the name uncultured bacterium. RNAcentral's name for it is "partial 16S ribosomal RNA". It matches the Rfam family "Bacterial small subunit ribosomal RNA", at positions 509 to 808 of the family's 1533-position model. The record is from RNAcentral.